Molecule: ribosomal RNA, 468 nt
Filed under: uncultured bacterium
Lineage: Bacteria
Description: partial 16S ribosomal RNA
Rfam family: Bacterial small subunit ribosomal RNA
Source: RNAcentral
GACGAACGCUGGCGGCGCGCCUAACACAUGCAAGUCGAACGGAGCUGAGAGAAGCUUGCUUUUCUUAGCUUAGUGGCGAACGGGUGAGUAACGCGUGAGUAACCUGCCCUGGAGUGGGGGACGACAGUUGGAAACGACUGCUAAUACCGCAUAAGCCCACGAUCCGGCAUCGGAUUGAGGGAAAAGGAUUUAUUCGCUUCAGGAUGGACUCGCGUCCAAUUAGCUAGUUGGUGAGGUAACGGCCCACCAAGGCGACGAUUGGUAGCCGGACUGAGAGGUUGAACGGCCACAUUGGGACUGAGACACGGCCCAGACUCCUACGGGAGGCAGCAGUGGGGGAUAUUGCACAAUGGGGGAAACCCUGAUGCAGCGACGCCGCGUGGAGGAAGAAGGUUUUCGGAUUGUAAACUCCUGUCGUUAGGGACGAUAAUGACGGUACCUAACAAGAAAGCACCGGCUAACUACGUG